GCCCCUGUAGCUCAGCUGGUUAGAGCAGCGGACUCAUAAUCCGUCGGUCGCGGGUUCAAGUCCCGCCGGGGGCACCA
This 77-nucleotide transfer RNA is filed under the name Saxibacter everestensis. RNAcentral's name for it is "Brevibacteriaceae bacterium ZFBP1038 tRNA-Ile". It matches the Rfam family "tRNA". From Rfam's summary of the family: Transfer RNA (tRNA) molecules are approximately 80 nucleotides in length. Their secondary structure includes four short double-helical elements and three loops (D, anti-codon, and T loops). Further hydrogen bonds mediate the characteristic L-shaped molecular structure. tRNAs have two regions of fundamental functional importance: the anti-codon, which is responsible for specific mRNA codon recognition, and the 3' end, to which the tRNAs corresponding amino acid is attached (by aminoacyl-tRNA synthetases). tRNAs cope with the degeneracy of the genetic code in two manners: having more than one tRNA (with a specific anti-codon) for a particular amino acid; and 'wobble' base-pairing, i.e. permitting non-standard base-pairing at the 3rd anti-codon position. The record is from RNAcentral. Lineage: Bacteria; Bacillati; Actinomycetota; Actinomycetes; Micrococcales; Brevibacteriaceae.